RNAcentral lists this ribosomal RNA (417 nucleotides) under Triticum aestivum (bread wheat). RNAcentral describes it as "partial small subunit ribosomal RNA". Lineage: Eukaryota; Viridiplantae; Streptophyta; Magnoliopsida; Poales; Poaceae. The record is from RNAcentral.
AUGGCGAAUGCACUGGCAUUUAUAUGCUCGUCUUUAGCCGUCCUAAGCCUUGUGUUUGCAGGAACACCUACAGUUGAAAUACCCAUGCGCUACAUGCACUACAAUUUCCUAUGGUUAUCUUUCAAUGGAGCCUUAUCUUUGGGGACGGCUUUCGUAUUGGCUAUAUACAUCAUGAUCACCCCAGUUAUUUCUGGAACUGCUACUAUGGCCAUGGUGGUGUUUUCUUCCUUAGAACUCCUCUACAUGCCAUCAUUAGUUGAGAAGCUUGUUAAAUUCAUGAUGGUGGUAUGUGGUAGACUAGGAAUAUUGUCAGUAAUGCUAAGAUCGGAGAUGCCGAAGGUAAUGUUGCUUACAAUUUGGCCACUCAUGGUAAUUUUUGGAUGGCAAGAAUACGCAUGGCGACACAUGUACCUGUAG